This 1508-nucleotide ribosomal RNA is filed under the name uncultured prokaryote. RNAcentral describes it as "partial 16S ribosomal RNA". It matches the Rfam family "Bacterial small subunit ribosomal RNA". The record is from RNAcentral.
AGAGUUUGAUCCUGGCUCAGAUUGAACGCUGGCGGUAUGCUUAACACAUGCAAGUCGAACGGUAACAGGCAGAGCUUGCUCUGUGCUGACGAGUGGCGGACGGGUGCGUAACGCGUGGGAAUCUACCUUUUAGUGGGGGGGGGAUAGCCCGGUGAAAACCGGAUUAAUACCGCAUAAGCCCUACGGGGGAAAAGGGGCCUCUUCUUGAAAGCUCUUGCUAUUAGAUGAGCCCGCGUAAGAUUAGCUAGUUGGUGAGGUAAUGGCUCACCAAGGCAACGAUCUUUAGCUGGUCUGAGAGGAUGAUCAGCCACACUGGGACUGAGACACGGCCCAGACUCCUACGGGAGGCAGCAGUGGGGAAUAUUGGACAAUGGGCGGAAGCCUGAUCCAGCAAUACCGCGUGUGUGAAGAAGGCCUGAGGGUUGUAAAGCACUUUCAAUAGCGACGAAAUGCCUUAGCUUAAUACGCUAGGGUCUUGACUUAAACUAUAGAAGAAGCACCGGCUAACUCUGUGCCAGCAGCCGCGGUAAUACAGAGGGUGCAAGCGUUAAUCGGAAUUACUGGGCGUAAAGCGUGCGUAGGUGGUUUGUUAAGCAAGAUGUGAAAGCCCCGGGCUCAACCUGGGAACUGCAUUUUGAACUGGCAGGCUAGAGUUUUGUAGAGGGAAGUGGAAUUCCGGGUGUAGCGGUGAAAUGCGUAGAUAUCCGGAGGAACACCAGUGGCGAAGGCGGCUUCCUGGACCAACACUGACACUGAGGUGCGAAAGCGUGGGGAGCGAACAGGAUUAGAUACCCUGGUAGUCCACGCCGUAAACGAUGAGAACUAGAUGUUGGGGGGCACCCUUUAGUCUCGAAGCUAACGCGUUAAGUUCUCCGCCUGGGGAGUACGGCCGCAAGGUUAAAACUCAAAUGAAUUGACGGGGGCCCGCACAAGCGGUGGAGCAUGUGGUUUAAUUCGAUGCAACGCGAAAAACCUUACCUACUCUUGACAUCCUCGGAACUUGUCAGAAAUGACUUGGUGCCUUCGGGAGCCGAGUGACAGGUGCUGCAUGGCUGUCGUCAUCUCGUGUCGUGAGAUGUUGGGUUAAGUCCCGCAACGAGCGCAACCCUUAUCUUUAGUUGCCAGCACGUAAUGGUGGGAACUCUAAGGAGACUGCCGGUGAUAAACCGGAGGAAGGUGGGGACGACGUCAAGUCAUCAUGGCCCUUAUGAGUAGGGCUACACACGUGCUACAAUGGUCGGUACAGAGGGUUGCCAAACCGCGAGGUGGAGCGAAUCCCUUAAAGCCGAUCGUAGUCCGGAUCGGAGUCUGCAACUCGACUCCGUGAAGUCGGAAUCGCUAGUAAUCGCGAAUCAGCAUGUCGCGGUGAAUACGUUCCCGGGCCUUGUACACACCGCCCGUCACACCAUGGGAGUGGGCUGCAACAGAAGCCAGUAGACUAACUUUCGAGAGGUCGCUGUCCACGGUAUGAUUCAUGACUGGGGUUAAGUCAUAACAAGGUAGCCGUA